AGUACCAGUAUGGACCAGUAUGGACCAGUAUGGACCAGUAUGGACCAGUAUGGACCAAUCAAUACCAGUAUGGACCAGUAUGGACCAGUAAGGACCAGUAUAGACCUGAAUGGACCAGUACGGACCAGUAUGGACCAGUACGGACCAGUAUGGACCAGUACGGACCAGUAUGGACCA
Tympanuchus pallidicinctus (lesser prairie-chicken) is the source of this 177-nucleotide long non-coding RNA. RefSeq lists it as uncharacterized. The transcript has 3 exons. Lineage: Eukaryota; Metazoa; Chordata; Aves; Galliformes; Phasianidae. The record is from RefSeq and is a predicted model, not a curated record.